This 352-nucleotide transfer-messenger RNA is filed under the name Planctomycetota. Its description in RNAcentral is "DG-23 sp001302825 Standard tmRNA". It matches the Rfam family "transfer-messenger RNA". From Rfam's summary of the family: Bacterial tmRNA, also known as 10Sa RNA or SsrA, is named for its dual tRNA and mRNA-like properties. Its role is to liberate the mRNA from a stalled ribosome. Lineage: Bacteria; Pseudomonadati. The record is from RNAcentral.
GGGGGCGAUUGGUAUCGACCGGGCAGGUGAGGUAAAGGCUGCGCAUUGAGGUUGCCAGGCGGCCUCAUAAAAAACCUGGCACAAAAACAACUGCCAAUACUCAGUUGGCGCUGGCCGCGUAAGCGGUCAAGUCCCCCUGGUCUUUCCUGUGAGACCAGGUGUGGACUCCGGCAGCAGGAUAGUUUCCCUCUUUUAGGCGACGGGAGGGAGGCGAAACUUUAGUUCGCCUUAGCCGCCGCAGGAGCCUGUCUAUUGGCGCCUGCGGAUGGCGAAAUUAAAAAAUAGACUAUGUGCGUAGACGCCUUUACCGAAAUGCCACGGGACGCGGGUUCGAUUCCCGCCGCCUCCACUU